This 75-nucleotide transfer RNA is filed under the name Thermomonospora echinospora. RNAcentral describes it as "Actinomadura echinospora tRNA_Arg_CCG". It matches the Rfam family "tRNA". From Rfam's summary of the family: Transfer RNA (tRNA) molecules are approximately 80 nucleotides in length. RNAcentral also lists the same sequence under 18 other names. The record is from RNAcentral. Lineage: Bacteria; Bacillati; Actinomycetota; Actinomycetes; Streptosporangiales; Thermomonosporaceae.
GCCCCCUUAGCUCAGGGGAUAGAGCAACGGCCUCCGGAGCCGUGUGCGCAGGUUCGAAUCCUGCAGGGGGCACCC